This 558-nucleotide long non-coding RNA is filed under the name Anas platyrhynchos (mallard). RNAcentral's name for it is "lncRNA (ENSAPLG00020015737.1)". The record is from RNAcentral. Lineage: Eukaryota; Metazoa; Chordata; Aves; Anseriformes; Anatidae.
UCCUAGGCGACGCGCGGGGAAGGCCGGGCGCGCGCGCGAGCAUUGGCCCCCCCCCCUUCUUUUCCCGCCUCCCCCCCCCCCCCCGGCCCCUCACCUCGCCUCACGGCCGCCGGCCCCGCGCGGGGAGCUGAGGCAGCGCUGAGGCGGCUGGCAGGCGGCGGGCACCCAGCGCCCGGCACCAGGUACCAGGUUGUUAAAACUCAGCAAGAAGAAGGCCUAGAGAGGUACCUUUUCUUCAUCCCCUGAUGUCUUCAGAUUUAGCUACAUUGUGAAUUGCUGAAGUACCUGCUGGCUGUUGUGCUUUUCCUGGAAAAUGUUGGUAGUGCCUCAGAACAACUGACUGCAGCUGCGACAGCAGCACUGCCAUCUCUCCUUGAAAAUACUUGUGCUGCAGAACAAAUAGAACUGCUGAACUCCCACAAAACGGGCAUCGCUCGUACUCACGUGGCAGCUCAGCCAGUACCAUGUGCUGUCUGGUUUCAGUUCCGAGAGGCAGAAAAAAAAGGCACCCUGAAACUGCUAACUGAUGCCCUCAGGCACGUUAUCUGGAAAAUUUGA